ACUUAAAUAGUUUAAAGAAAAAUAUUGAUUUGUGGUGUCAAAGAUAUGUUGAAAUAUUUUAGGUU
RNAcentral lists this transfer RNA (65 nucleotides) under Ocellarnaca fuscotessellata. Its description in RNAcentral is "tRNA-His". Lineage: Eukaryota; Metazoa; Arthropoda; Insecta; Orthoptera; Gryllacrididae. The record is from RNAcentral.